Long non-coding RNA from Daphnia pulicaria, 363 nucleotides. RefSeq lists it as uncharacterized. The transcript is spliced from 3 exons. NCBI's taxonomy places the organism in Eukaryota, Metazoa, Arthropoda, Branchiopoda, Diplostraca, Daphniidae. The record is from RefSeq and is a predicted model, not a curated record.
UCUGGAUUCAAAAUAGGUUCCAAUUUUGGUGGUUAUCGAGUCAAUGCUGAGCUUGAAGCACGACCAAACGUCCGGUUGGCUGGAGAUGCUGCCUUCUUUUGUGAUAGCAAAUUGGGUCGUCAUCGUAUGAAACAUCACCACCAUGCUGUUGUAUCAGGGCGAUUGGCCGGAGAGAAGAAUACUGGCAACGAAACAUGGAUGAACAUCUGCAGUGCACUGUCACCAAGUGCAUUCUUCGUCGUAUUAUUAGUACGCAAUCGGUUAACUAUAGUGUCGUGCUGCUGUUGGUUGUUGUACCGUUGACGACUGGGUUGACCUGGUGUACUCAUGUCUCCUGGGUAUGGCAAAUACCGAACCGCAACG